Molecule: unclassified non-coding RNA, 147 nt
Filed under: soil metagenome
Description: partial internal transcribed spacer 1
Source: RNAcentral
UAAUAAGUGUUUUAUGGUACUUUUUAAAUCCAUAUCCACCUUGUGUGCAAUGUCGGUCGAUCUUCUUUUUUUGAGGAUCGACCAAACACCAACCUUUAUUUUUUAACUCUUUGUUUGAAAAAUAUUAUGAAUAAACAAUUCAAAAUA